RNAcentral lists this transfer RNA (71 nucleotides) under Massilia yuzhufengensis. RNAcentral describes it as "tRNA_Cys_GCA". It matches the Rfam family "tRNA". Rfam says of the family: Transfer RNA (tRNA) molecules are approximately 80 nucleotides in length. Their secondary structure includes four short double-helical elements and three loops (D, anti-codon, and T loops). Further hydrogen bonds mediate the characteristic L-shaped molecular structure. tRNAs have two regions of fundamental functional importance: the anti-codon, which is responsible for specific mRNA codon recognition, and the 3' end, to which the tRNAs corresponding amino acid is attached (by aminoacyl-tRNA synthetases). tRNAs cope with the degeneracy of the genetic code in two manners: having more than one tRNA (with a specific anti-codon) for a particular amino acid; and 'wobble' base-pairing, i.e. permitting non-standard base-pairing at the 3rd anti-codon position. Lineage: Bacteria; Pseudomonadati; Pseudomonadota; Betaproteobacteria; Burkholderiales; Oxalobacteraceae. The record is from RNAcentral.
GGCGAGGUAGCAAAGCGGUCAUGCAACGGCCUGCAAAGCCGUCAAGUUGGGUUCGACUCCCUUCCUCGCCU